RNAcentral lists this ribosomal RNA (205 nucleotides) under uncultured bacterium. Its description in RNAcentral is "partial 16S ribosomal RNA". It matches the Rfam family "Bacterial small subunit ribosomal RNA", at positions 568 to 774 of the family's 1533-position model. The record is from RNAcentral.
CACGCAGGCGGUCUGUCAAGUCGGAUGUGAAAUCCCCGGGCUCAACCUGGGAACUGCAUUCGAAACUGGCAGGCUAGAGUCUUGUAGAGGGGGUAGAAUUCCAGGUGUAGCGGUGAAAUGCGUAGAGAUCUGGAGGAAUACCGGUGGCGAAGGCGGCCCCCUGGACAAAGACUGACGCUCAGGUGCGAAAGCGUGGGAGCAAACA